CCGUCUUGAAACACGGACCAAGGAGUCUAACAUGUGCGCGAGUCAUUGGGUCAGACUAAACCUAAAGGCGCAAUGAAAGUGAAGACAGCCUCGGGUUUGUCUAGGUAGGAUCCUCUUCCAAGAGGAGGCGCACUACCGGCCCGUCUCGUCCGCGUUGCGGUGAGGCGGAGCGAGAGCGUACACGUUGGGACCCGAAAG
Molecule: ribosomal RNA, 198 nt
Filed under: Mopalia lionota
Lineage: Eukaryota; Metazoa; Mollusca; Polyplacophora; Chitonida; Mopaliidae
Description: partial 28S ribosomal RNA
Rfam family: Eukaryotic large subunit ribosomal RNA
Source: RNAcentral